GGGUGAGUAACGCGUAUCCAACCUGCCCACCACUUGGGGAUAACCUUGCGAAAGUAAGACUAAUACCCAAUGAUAUCUCUAGAAGGCAUCUGAAAGAGAUUAAAGAUUUAUCGGUGAUGGAUGGGGAUGCGUCUGAUUAGCUUGUUGGCGGGGUAACGGCCCACCAAGGCAACGAUCAGUAGGGGUUCUGAGAGGAAGGUCCCCCACAUUGGAACUGAGACACGGUCCAAACUCCUACGGGAGGCAGCAGUGAGGAAUAUUGGUCAAUGGACGAGAGUCUGAACCAGCCAAGUAGCGUGCAGGAUGACGGCCCUAUGGGUUGUAAACUGCUUUUAUAAGGGAAUAAAGUGAGUCUCGUGAGACUUUUUGCAUGUACCUUAUGAAUAAGGACCGGCUAAUUCCGUGCCAGCAGCCGCGGUAAUACGGAAGGUCCGGGCGUUAUCCGGAUUUAUUGGGUUUAAAGGGAGCGUAGGCCGGAGAUUAAGCGUGUUGUGAAAUGUAGAUGCUCAACAUCUGAACUGCAGCGCGAACUGGUUUCCUUGAGUACGCACAAAGUGGGCGGAGUUCGUGGUGUAGCGGUGAAAUGCUUAGAUAUCACGAAGAACUCCGAUUGCGAAGGCAGCUCACUGGAGCGCAACUGACGCUGAAGCUCGAAAGUGCGGGUAUCGAACAGGAUUAGAUACCCUGGUAGUCCGCACGGUAAACGAUGGAUGCCCGCUGUUGGUCUGAAUAGGUCAGCGGCCAAG
Molecule: ribosomal RNA, 746 nt
Filed under: uncultured bacterium
Lineage: Bacteria
Description: bacterial SSU rRNA
Rfam family: Bacterial small subunit ribosomal RNA
Source: RNAcentral